CUGGCUCAGGAUGAACGCUAGCUACAGGCUUAACACAUGCAAGUCGAGGGGCAGCAUGAUCUUAGCUUGCUAAGAUUGAUGGCGACCGGCGCACGGGUGAGUAACGCGUAUCCAACCUUCCCUAUAGUAGAGGAUAGCCCGGCGAAAGUCGGAUUAAUACUCUAUGUUUUCCAAUGCAGACAUCUAAAAUGGAACAAAGGUUUACCGCUAUAGGAUGGGGAUGCGUCUGAUUAGGUUGUUGGCGGGGUAACGGCCCACCAAGCCUUCGAUCAGUAGGGGUUCUGAGAGGAAGGUCCCCCACAUUGGAACUGAGACACGGUCCAAACUCCUACGGGAGGCAGCAGUGAGGAAUAUUGGUCAAUGGACGAAAGUCUGAACCAGCCAAGUAGCCGUGCAGGAAGACGGCCCUAUGGGUUGUAAACUGCUUUUAUACAGGGAUAAAGUUCGCCACGUGUGGCGUUUUGUAGGUACUGUAUGAAUAAGGACCGGCUAAUUCCGUGCCAGCCGCGGC
This 511-nucleotide ribosomal RNA is filed under the name uncultured bacterium. RNAcentral's name for it is "bacterial SSU rRNA". It matches the Rfam family "Bacterial small subunit ribosomal RNA", at positions 19 to 518 of the family's 1533-position model. The record is from RNAcentral.